RNAcentral lists this non-coding RNA (26 nucleotides) under Homo sapiens (human). The record is from RNAcentral. Lineage: Eukaryota; Metazoa; Chordata; Mammalia; Primates; Hominidae.
UUGCAAGAGCAAAUGAUGUAAGUAAC